CCACCACAGAUGGCAGCCACAAAAGACCUGCUGAGAAUCCAAUCUAAUACAGCAGCAAAGACUCAAGGCACUUCCCCUGGGAGCAGGGGUGUGAGCUGCAAGGAAAGGAUCCAGAGACCCGCCCAAGCCCAUGCUGAGGUUGGGGGCAGUGCUGAGUUUGAAACUGUGGAGCUCUUUUGGGGCAGAUUGAUGCAUGCCAGAUUCUGAAGUCACAAAAACUCAAAACGUAUCAGCCAUUCUGGAGUCAAGAGAAUCCUAGCUCUGUCUUAGAGUGGCAAACUCUACUGAAACUGCCCCUCUAUGGGCCAAGCCUUGUCGGUCGUCUGACCCUCCUGCUGUUGGCAUGGAUGCACCACAGAACAAGGCCUCCACCGUUACCUGUUUGAGCAGCUGGAAUCUAGCCCUCCAGAACCCUGCUGGGACCCCUGGGCAGUCCGCAGGUGUCAGCCCUGGUGAAUGAACUUGGUCCUCCUGUCCUGCUCUACUGCACAAGGCCACGCCCAGCUUUCUGCGGCCCUGGCCCUGUCCACGGUGCUAACGCCCAUCGCGUCCCAAGGCUUGUGUAGCUCUUCCCACCUCAACCCUUCACCCCUGCCUCCAACUUUAAGAUCUCAGAAGAUCUCCCCAGUCACCAGGGAUGAAUUCUGAGCUCACGUUCUGGAAUGCUGCCAGGAAGGAAGCGGCAUUGGUGUAAAGAAUCACACAAAAGGCCGCAGAUUAUAAGACCCUUUGAGCAGAGGUCAUAGCUGCCCUGUUCCUCUCGAGACCCCAGCACCAAUCACUCAGUAGCUUCUUGGUAAAUGCUGACAGAGUGUGUGAAAAGGCAGGGAUUUGGAAGGAAGUUUCAGGGGGCUGUGCUGACUUUUGCUCCUGGCAGAAAUCUGCAGGUGCCAUGUCAUUCUGCACACCUGCUCCAGGCUACUUGUGGGCAAAGUUCAAAAGUAUGGCUAACCUUCUGGGGACAGUUCCCUCACCCUACCCAGGACCUUUGAAGAAGAGAAAGACAACACCAGAUGUGAGGAGGAAGGAAGCCCUCCCUGCCCUGUGCCCAGGGGCCUCCGCUCCCUCCACCCAUUGAAGUGUCUGCAGCUGGUCUGUCUUCGCUACUGGACUGUGAACUCCGAGACACACCUGUGUGUCUCAUCCACUGCCGCAUUCCUGUCGCUACCGUGGUGCCUGGCACCUGGUGAGCACGCAGGUGGGAGGACAACAGCUUAGACAGAUUCGUCUGUUUUACCACAUGGCUCUCCGGCAUGCACUCUGUUCGGCCCCAAGCUUGCAGCAGCAGGAAAAAAGGCUUCCUCCCUCGCCUCACCCAGGGGCAGCUGGGAUCUGCGGGGAGGUGUAUCAUAUCAAUUCAUGUAAAGGAGAGAUGCAUAGUACCAACAGAGAGCGCAGAAGAAGGUCAUGUGAUGAGCUCCUCUCCCUCUCUCUAUUGCAUCUGAGCCAUCCUAGGGUCCCCAGUGCCCAGCACGGCAUCCGGCACAAGGUAGGCAUCCCACAAACAGUGAGUGGGAUUGAACUCACCGCAGGAAGGCUAGUUGAGCCUUUGCCGCUCUCUUCUCCCCCUCCCUGGGCCUAUUUUGCUGCCAUUCCUUCCCUGUCCUCCCGGGAGGCCCUGCAUACCUUGAGCGCUGACUGAAAGACCUGAUAGCGGUGCCUUCUAUUCUGGGCACAGGUGGGAUAGCCACGUGCAUAUGGAGGCUGGGAGCCUCUUUGUGUUACCUGGGAGUUUGUGUCAACGAGCACCUGGGUCUCUAGAGAAGGACCCAAGUCUUCAGUGGAGCCAUGGUUUAUGGACCCAGCUCCAGGAGCCGAAAAAACCAAUUAGCCUUCUCUGCUUCUCCACCUGGAGGCAGAAUAAUUCUAGUAAAGUCCUUCCUCCUGGACAGAGACUUCGUCUGCCCGGAUCUUAGCUCUGAGAUGUCCCCAUCCAGCCUUUCACCCCUCUUGACUGACGAUGCUCAAGUCAGGAGUUCUGAGCUUCCUAGGCCAGUUUUCUUACAUUAAAACCAUGACUACUUACUGAUACACUGGAAGCCUUUUCCAGAUUUCCAUUUUUUCUAAACCUUAUUUCUCCAUCACAAUAGGAUUUAAAAAUCUUUGCCUGGCUAGAUCAUUUAUUUACAUACACAGUCAUUUACAUAAAGAUUUUUUUUAGGUGCCUACAAUAGCCAGGUGCUGGAUUAGUCACCAAGAAGGCGGAGGUGAAUCAAAGACAUGGUCCCUGUCCGCGGGAAGCUUGUAGUUUGUGAGGAAGUUCACACUUACCUGUGCUUACCGGCACAGUACAGUCUGUUAAGGGCAGCCCGGCUUUUAAUCUAGGACAUCAGAUUCUUUGUUCACUGACUAUCUAUUGUUCACCUGUGACACAUCAGGCAUGAAUAAUAGCUAUAGGGCUGAUGCAGGCCACCCCUCACACAGAUGAAGCACAAAGAAGUCUGUGAACAGCCACUGCACCCUGCAUUUGUGAGAACGCCAGGAGCUAGAAACUGGGUGCCAGGCUCCCCAGGGUGGUGGAGAAGACUGCCUGAGGUGGGAGCCAGGAGCAUUUGCACCUAGCAGAGGUGAACAUGAACAGACAGAGCCUCUCAGUACGACUGGGUGGUGUGGAAGCUGACUCAUGUUGUUCUCCUUACUGCAGCCCCUAAUGCUGGGCCCACAGCCCUGAGCUGCAUCCUCAGGCCCUGUCUCUGCUUCUGUGGCCUCUGGAUGUCAGGGCCUCGACUCAAAAGGUUUAGAGCUCCAGGACCUGGAGGAAGGGAAGAGGUAGUAAGGAGUGAGGAAUAGGACGGGUGGGUAGAGAUCCAUUUCUAAUCCGUGAUGUUUCCAUAGAAAAAAUUGCUGUCUUCCUCCAUGAGUUGUGGGUCUAGCUCUUCAUUGAUAAAAUCUGCUAAAAGUCAGACAAUUAGAGCUCUGAGGGCUCUUUGGCUUCUCUUACUUCUGUGGUUGGAAGAGGGAGAUGGAAGAGGGUGGGUCUGCAGAGAAACUCUGGCUCCACCCUCUGCCAAGGGACCCAAAUCAGCAUUUACUGACAUUUCUCAGGCUGCCCUCAGUGCCGGUGACAUUUCAGAGACCUGCCCUCUUACAUGGCUGAAGGGUACAAGGCUGACCCUGAAACCCUGCUCCGGGGCCAGUCCAGCUCUGACCACAGGCACCACUUGGGAACAAGCCUCAUUUCCCAAACAGCAGCCAAGCACCAUCUCUGGGAUUAGUGCUGGCCUCACUCAGGGACCUGCAUCACACUUGAAAAUACUGCCUGGGGCAAGGGUGAGGCUGGUCUGGGCCCAGCACCUUCUUUACCAAACCUCAAUGUCCUUUCUUACCAACACCUCUAUAAAACCAAGCCCAUAACCUCUGACUCCUUCAAAAGGCACUUGUGGCCUCCAGCUAUACAUUUGUGAGAGGAUGGAGUUGUCCAUAAACUGUAGAUUGUUGUCCCAGUGUGAGGAGUGCUGGUGGGGACAUUAAGACCCGAGGGUGGGUGUGGGAAGAUUAACAAGUGCAAAAGCUGGAGGAACCAAGCCAGAUUCUGGCAAUUUCAGAUUGAAGUGAGCCACUUGGCAGACAGAGGUUAACAGGGGAGAUCCAGGGAACAUUUUGAUGUCUGCAUUGAUGCUGUUAGAGCUAAGGGCUGUAUUGGAACCAGCCAGGAGGCCCUACCUUGCUUACUAGUUU
Long non-coding RNA from Fukomys damarensis (Damara mole-rat), 3678 nucleotides. RefSeq lists it as uncharacterized. Lineage: Eukaryota; Metazoa; Chordata; Mammalia; Rodentia; Bathyergidae. The record is from RefSeq and is a predicted model, not a curated record. The transcript is spliced from 7 exons.